GAGGGUAUAGCUCCGGGGUAAAGCUCAUGCUUAGCAUGCACGAGGUCCUGGGUUCAAUCCCCAGUCCCUCCA
This 72-nucleotide transfer RNA is filed under the name Camelus bactrianus (Bactrian camel). It matches the Rfam family "tRNA". Rfam says of the family: Transfer RNA (tRNA) molecules are approximately 80 nucleotides in length. Their secondary structure includes four short double-helical elements and three loops (D, anti-codon, and T loops). Further hydrogen bonds mediate the characteristic L-shaped molecular structure. tRNAs have two regions of fundamental functional importance: the anti-codon, which is responsible for specific mRNA codon recognition, and the 3' end, to which the tRNAs corresponding amino acid is attached (by aminoacyl-tRNA synthetases). tRNAs cope with the degeneracy of the genetic code in two manners: having more than one tRNA (with a specific anti-codon) for a particular amino acid; and 'wobble' base-pairing, i.e. permitting non-standard base-pairing at the 3rd anti-codon position. The record is from Rfam by way of RNAcentral. RNAcentral also lists the same sequence under 2 other names. Lineage: Eukaryota; Metazoa; Chordata; Mammalia; Artiodactyla; Camelidae.